Molecule: ribosomal RNA, 119 nt
Filed under: Pteropus alecto (black flying fox)
Lineage: Eukaryota; Metazoa; Chordata; Mammalia; Chiroptera; Pteropodidae
Source: RNAcentral
GUCUACAGCCAUGCCACCUUGAACAAGCCCAAUCUUGUCUGAUCUCAGAGGCUAAGGAGGGUCAGGCCUGGUUAGUACUUGGAUAGGAGACCACCUAAGAAGACUGGGUGCUGCAGGCA